RNAcentral lists this ribosomal RNA (532 nucleotides) under uncultured Gammaproteobacteria bacterium. RNAcentral describes it as "bacterial SSU rRNA". It matches the Rfam family "Bacterial small subunit ribosomal RNA", at positions 202 to 718 of the family's 1533-position model. The record is from RNAcentral. Lineage: Bacteria; Pseudomonadati; Pseudomonadota; Gammaproteobacteria.
AGCGGGGGAUCUUCGGACCCUGCACUAUUGGAAGAGCUUGCGUUGGAUUAGCUAGUUGGUAGGGUAAAGGCCUACCAAGGCGACGAUCCAUAACUGGUCUGAGAGGAUGAUCAGUCACACCGGAACUGAGACACGGUCCAGACUCCUACGGGAGGCAGCAGUGGGGAAUAUUGGACAAUGGGGGCAACCCUGAUCCAGCCAUGCCGCGUGUGUGAAGAAGGCCUUCGGGUUGUAAAGCACUUUCAGUAGGGAGGAAAGCUCGGUUGCUAAUAUCGGCCGGGAUUGACGUUACCUACAGAAGCAGCACCGGCUAACUUCGUGCCAGCAGCCGCGGUAAUACGAAGGGUGCAAGCGUUAAUCGGAAUUACUGGGCGUAAAGCGCGCGUAGGCGGUUUGGUAAGUGUGAUGUGAAAGCCCCGGGCUCAACCUGGGAAUUGCCUCACAUACUGCCAGGCUAGAGUACGGUAGAGGGGGGUAGAAUUCCACGUGUAGCGGUGAAAUGCGUAGAGAUGUGGAGGAAUACCAGUGGCGA